RNAcentral lists this transfer RNA (21 nucleotides) under Uromys caudimaculatus (giant uromys). RNAcentral's name for it is "partial transfer RNA Proline". Lineage: Eukaryota; Metazoa; Chordata; Mammalia; Rodentia; Muridae. The record is from RNAcentral.
UUUAAUUAAACUAAUUCUUGA